AGUGAACGCUGGCGGCAGGCCUAACACAUGCAAGUCGAACGGCAGCACAGUAAGAGCUUGCUCUUACGGGUGGCGAGUGGCGGACGGGUGAGGAAUACAUCGGAAUCUACUUUUUCGUGGGGGAUAACGUAGGGAAACUUACGCUAAUACCGCAUACGACCUACGGGUGAAAGCAGGGGAUCUUCGGACCUUGCGCGAUUGAAUGAGCCGAUGUCGGAUAGCUAGUUGGCGGGGUAAAGGCCCACCAAGGCGACGACCCGUAGCUGGUCUGAGAGGAUGAUCAGCCACACUGGAACUGAGACACGGUCCAGACUCCUACGGGAGGCAGCAGUGGGGAAUAUUGGACAAUGGGCGCAAGCCUGAUCCAGCCAUACCGCGUGGGUGAAGAAGGCCUUCGGGUUGUAAAGCCCUUUUUUUGGGAAAGAAAAGCAGCAGGUUAAUACCCCGCUGUUCUGACGGUACCCAAAGAAUAAGCACCGGCUAACUUCGUG
RNAcentral lists this ribosomal RNA (491 nucleotides) under uncultured bacterium. RNAcentral describes it as "partial 16S ribosomal RNA". It matches the Rfam family "Bacterial small subunit ribosomal RNA", at positions 29 to 507 of the family's 1533-position model. The record is from RNAcentral.